AAUAAAAGGUCCCGUCCUGGUGAGAGUGAGGUGAGACGAGGACAAUAAGACAAUUAGACUAUAGAAUCACUCUGCUGAUGCUGGUAUGGAGCCAAGGACCCACUAAUCUGGUAAUUAGUUCAUCAUUUCACCAACACAUGAUGGAGCAACUCCCCCUCCCUCUCCCAGCCUUGUUCCUCCCCCCGUCCCUCCCUCCCCCACCCUUGUCCCUCCCCUAACGCCUCCCCCACCCUUGUCCCUCCCCUAUCGCCCCCCCCCCACACACUGUUUAAAUGGCUCUCUGUCCUCCAGUGGGUGUCUUGUGCCGGCUGGCUGGAGGUAAGGACGUGCGCUCUUCUUCUUCAUGUCCUUUUAGGAAUCAUUCCCCUCACAGAAGGAGGAAGAGGAGCUGGUUGCUGCUGUCAAUCAUCUUCAUUUGUGACUCGUGCGUGUUCCAACAUGUGUGCAGAAACUUCUCGAGGUCUCCUCUGAAGACAGGCUGGAUGAAGUCGACCCUGGAGCCUGAAAGACGAAAGAUGACGCAGGAAGGAGCGGACUACCAGAAAGUCAGACCUGAUGAAGAGGAAGGGUUCUGUGCAGAGGUGCAGGAGGAGCAGGAGGAGCAGGAGGAGCUGGAGGAGCUGGAGGAGCAGGACCAAGACACCAGAAGCAAGAAGCCCCGCAGGAAGGAUACACCCAUCUUCACGUGUCCUCCACAUGUUCCAGGAGUGAGACAACUGAAGGUGGACAAUCCUCUGGUCCACUCUGAGAGUGAGGAAAAUGGUGGCAAAGAGUGAAUUUCCGUUGAUCUUCCAGUCACUCUCUCUCUCUCUCUUACAUUCAUCUGUAACACAAGAGUCCCGGUUGAACCGGCUGCUGGUUUCACCUUGUUGACAGCGCGUCAGAAUUGUCUCAGUGGUCCUCAAAGCGUCCACUCGUCAGAUUCCUGCUCUUGUUUUUGGAAAUAUGCUUCCGUGCAAUUAUAAUCAAAUUCCAACUAAUUAAAAGGGAAAACAGUGGAAGUUGCUGUAAAUGAACAAAUGAAUAAAUACGUGAAUGAAUAAAAACACUCGUUAGCUUUUGGGCUUCCUCAAUAUUGUUUGAUUGGAUGCAAUGUAGCAUAGCAGCAAUGUCAAUAGCUAAUAAAUGUACAAUUUUUAAUCAUAACUUUUAUCUUUAGAUAAUAUUACCCCUUGCUUUAUUUUUAUUUAGACUUAUUAAUGUGAAAAAAUCUAAUGUUAUUGUAUAAAAAUAAGCUACAUUUAAUUAGAUCACUUAUUGUUUUGUUAAAGAUUUCGUCAUGUUUAAGUCUUGAGAGACUUUAGUUCCAGUUUUACUUGUUUAAGUCUUCUCCAGUUCCACCAUUGGCCCAAAGUUAAGCCCCGCCCCUCUUUGGCACCAUUACACAAACACCCAUCAGCUGUCAGGAACUAGCUGGGCCACAUUUUGGGGUUCCAUCCUUGAGCCCAGGGAACAGAAGAGCUUUGUGGCUAUGCUGUGGAGGGUUAUGUGUUCCAGUUUAAAGGUAGGUUGAACUUUAAUCCGAGUGGAAGAGAAUCUUUAGCACAGAGUUAGCACAGAGUUUAGCACAGAGUUUAGCACACACUGUUUGUUGACAGAAGGAAACAUUACAGCAGUGACGGGGGGGGGGGAGCAAAUGUAAAAUCACGUGAUUCCUGAUGUCAUAUGUGAUGUGAGGGUUGGGGUUGUGCUAGGGUUAGCGGUUCCCAGAUGCUAAUGUGUUUAACGAUUGCUACGUUAAAUACUAACCCUAACCCUGUUCUCCAGUAUGUGGACUGUAACAGCAGGAAAUCGAGACCAUCACCAACUCUGCAGCCUCCUACGAGUUCAGACGUCUCUUCAUGUCAACAGUUUAGAAUCGUACACACGAAAAACUCUUUUUUAAUGUUUGAAACACUGAUCCACUCGGUUUGGUUCUGCAGCUUCCGUAACAUAAAAGUCUCGUUAAUAAAGUUUCUGUGGGGCUUCAGAUUCCUGUGGCACACUCUAAAAUGUGGGUUGUUGCGACCUUGUUGGAGCAAUUCUGAAGAUAAAAGCGGACUGUGUUGGACCGCUAUUAUCAUCCCUGUUGUGCAGAAAGUUUGAUCCUGUAUCCAAACGUCCCACCAGGAUUCCUCAUCAUCCCGACUCCUGUUCAGGCCCUGAUCUCAGAGCAGUUCUGUUCAAACUUUAAAGAAUAAAAACAUGACACAGGAAGCAGAAAAUGGGACCUUUAAUCUACAGUUAUAAUGAUCGGAAACGAAUUUGCUUUAAGCAAGAAAAUAAAAAUGACAUUAGAAGAGACUAAGACACGAUGAGCAGAGGUUCAAAUGAAGCUCAGAUGUGAUCUACUGAAGCAGGGAUCCAUUUUCAACAGUGUAGAGUAACUAAAGUCUCUUCCGGUACCGCAGGGAUAUGUUCUGUAACUUGCGUGCUUUUGCUCUGGCAUCAAUAGGCUGGAAGUCCGACACCUUUAUUCUGAAGAGCCCGUAGGAACCGGCACAGUAGCUGGGUCUGUUGUGCUUCUGGGUCUGUUGCUUCAGCUGGACAUCUGAAUAAAAUACAGGGUGUCAUGAUCCAGCGUGUCUCCUUGUGCUGUCCCUCUGAUGGACUCUUUCCUGAGUCUCUCCGUCCUGCCCACUCCCAAAGCCAACCUCAGCAUCUUCCUCUCUGCUACCUCCAGCUCUGCCGCUGUCUCCAGACCACCCAACAUGGCUGGUCUCGCCACAGUCUUGGACACCUCCUUCAUUUUAGCUGAAACUCUCCACCCGUUCCAGCCUGCCUCUACACACUUCUUCACCUCUUUACCACACUCUCUGUUGCCCUGGACUGUUGACCCUAAGUACCUAAAAGCCUCCACCUUCUUGAUCUCUUGUCCCUGUAACCUCACUCUCCCACUUGGCUCCCUCUCAUUCACAAACAGAUACUCCAUCUUACAGCAGAUAACUAAGUCAACCACCAUCUGUCCUUCUGCGUUCCACUCCCGGAUACUAAACCUGCCCUACUUCCUACUCUCAGUCCUAGACUCUUGGCGUUCCUCUUCUCUCUCUUCCUACGGACACACCUUCCUUCUCUCUUUCUUCGACCAACAGUAGUCCAGUUUCCAUUGGCAUCCCGUACAACAGCACUGAUGGCGGUCGUUGUUAACCCUGGC
Molecule: long non-coding RNA, 3133 nt
Filed under: Takifugu rubripes (torafugu)
Lineage: Eukaryota; Metazoa; Chordata; Actinopteri; Tetraodontiformes; Tetraodontidae
Description: lncRNA (ENSTRUG00000030515.1)
Source: RNAcentral